Small nuclear RNA from Dipodomys ordii (Ord's kangaroo rat), 115 nucleotides. The record is from Ensembl. NCBI's taxonomy places the organism in Eukaryota, Metazoa, Chordata, Mammalia, Rodentia, Heteromyidae.
GUAACAAUGAAAUGAGAAAAGGUUAGCACUCACCUUGACAAGAAUGGAAGUGAACCUUGCUCCUGACAGAACAUAUAAGGUAUUGCCACCUACUUCGUAUUAGCUAACAAGUUUU